AGUGAACGCUGGCGGUAGGCCUAACACAUGCAAGUCGAACGGCAGCACAGUAAGAGCUUGCUCUUACUGGUGGCGAGUGGCGGACGGGUGAGGAAUACAUCGGAAUCUACUUUUUCGUGGGGGAUAACGUAGGGAAACUUACGCUAAUACCGCAUACGACCUACGGGUGAAAGCAGGGGAUCUUCGGACCUUGCGCGAUUGAAUGAGCCGAUGUCGGAUUAGCUAGUUGGCGGGGUAAAGGCCCACCAAGGCGACGAUCCGUAGCUGGUCUGAGAGGAUGAUCAGCCACACUGGAACUGAGACACGGUCCAGACUCCUACGGGAGGCAGCAGUGGGGAAUAUUGGACAAUGGGCGCAAGGCUGAUCCAGCCAUACCGCGUGGGUGAAGAAGGCCUUCGGGUUGUAGAGCCCUUUUGUUGGGAAAGAAAAGCAGCAGGUUAAUACCCCGCUGUUCUGACGGUACCCAAAGAAUAAGCACCGGCUAACUUCGUG
RNAcentral lists this ribosomal RNA (492 nucleotides) under uncultured bacterium. Its description in RNAcentral is "partial 16S ribosomal RNA". It matches the Rfam family "Bacterial small subunit ribosomal RNA", at positions 29 to 507 of the family's 1533-position model. The record is from RNAcentral.